Molecule: long non-coding RNA, 230 nt
Filed under: Lathyrus oleraceus (garden pea)
Lineage: Eukaryota; Viridiplantae; Streptophyta; Magnoliopsida; Fabales; Fabaceae
Description: Pisum sativum (pea) long non-coding RNA (PSAT_LNC021337)
Source: RNAcentral
GCAUUCCCAAACAUUCAACUCUACACAAUUUCCCUUUCUUUGAUCCCUAUCUUUUUUUCUUUUUCUUUUUACAUCCACACAACCAUGAGCAUUUUCUUUGCUUUUUUCUUUCUUUUCUUUUUUCUUUGCUCUAUGGUUUCAAGGGUGAUUUAUUUUUCUUGUUUCUUUUCAUAUUUUUACCCUUUCAUAAAAACUCACUUUUCCAAGUUUCUAAUCAACUUUUCACUUUA